Cyprinus carpio (common carp) is the source of this 1336-nucleotide long non-coding RNA. RefSeq lists it as uncharacterized. The record is from RefSeq and is a predicted model, not a curated record. The transcript is spliced from 2 exons. Lineage: Eukaryota; Metazoa; Chordata; Actinopteri; Cypriniformes; Cyprinidae.
GGUGGCAGAUUUUUUUAUAGGUUUAAAGAGGGGGCAGCCAAAAAAGUUUGAGAACUUAUUGUAGCUGCGAACAGCACUGCUGAUUUGAAUUUCUUCCCUGGGCAUAACUCAUUGACUCGUUCCUCUACCAGCAUGACACCCUUCCAGUACAUCCUGGGGUUUCAACCUCCCUUGUUCCUGUGGUCAGGCGAACCAUCUUUGGUCCCAGCUGUGGACAACUGGAUCCGACGUAUUGAGAGGGUGUGGGACAGUAUGCAUGUCCAUCUUCAGAGAGCCGUGAGAGCAGAGAAGCUCCAGGCCAACAGGCGAUGUUGCCCACAUCAUCCCUACUCACCAGAACAUUGGGUCUGGCCCUCAAUGAGAGGCCUCAAGCUGUGACUACCAAGCAGGAAGCUCAGCCCAAGGAUGCUAACCCUGGCAAUGAGGUCCAAGAGCCAACACCACCUUUGGAUGUUGACAUAACUCCUGCUUAUAAGGUGAAUGAGUUGCUGGAUUCAUGGAGAGGUCAUGGGUAGCUGUCCGCAAUAUCUUGGAUCCGUCUCACAUUGAGAAGUUUCAUUAAGCCAGACCCGAUCAACCAGCACCAUCACCAUAGGGACCUCCACGUUGAGCUUCAGGAGGUGCAGAGGGAGUCCUCACCUGAGUACUGACUGUGUGCCGCUCCCUCUGCUUCCUCUAAGAUCACUUCCUGUUCUGUUGCUAUAUGGCAUGAGACAUUCUGUUUGCACAUUUCAAAGUAUAGCCAGUUCUACUGCCUUACAGAGUGUUUUCCCUGUUAUCUUCCUGUCUAUCUAAUGCAUGAUUCUGCCUGGUUGCCUGAUUCUCAAUUACCUGGAUUAUCGCUUUUGUUUUGGUUGCCUGAUUAUACUGAUAUUUGUGUUUGGACCUUUUGCCUGCCUGCUCACCUUUGUCUUUUGGAUUAUUCCUGCAUAUGUUGAAGGACUGGACUGCUACUCUGGUUUUGACCCUCUGCCUGCCUUCACAGUUCUGUCAAAUCAGUCUGCUGUUAAUAACCUUCAUCAUAUGGAUUCCAACUCUGCCACAGCCUCGUCAUUACAGAAAUGCACAGAAUAUUUAUUUGCAAUGCAAACAGUUUUUUGGAUGAUUAUUUUUGUUAAUAUAAUAUUCUUAAUAAUAUAUAUAUUUUUUUUAUUUGCAGUCUUUUAUUUUUUUAAUUACAGUCUAAUUAGUUUUUCUCUCAAACACAGUAUGUUGAAUAAAAAAGACACAAAAAUAACUACAUAGAACCAUGACUGUAGCCAGCUAUGAGGUGACCGAGGUCCGGACCUUGGUAAUUUUUUUCAUGUUCAGAAAUAAAAUUUGUUCUCUGAAUGAA